Molecule: ribosomal RNA, 253 nt
Filed under: uncultured bacterium
Lineage: Bacteria
Description: partial 16S ribosomal RNA
Rfam family: Bacterial small subunit ribosomal RNA
Source: RNAcentral
UACGUAGGGUGCAAGCGUUAAUCGGAAUUACUGGGCGUAAAGCGUGCGCAGGCGGUGAUGUAAGACAGAUGUGAAAUCCCCGGGCUCAACCUGGGAACUGCAUUUGUGACUGCAUCGCUGGAGUGCGGCAGAGGGGGAUGGAAUUCCACGUGUAGCAGUGAAAUGCGUAGAGAUGUGGAGGAACACCGAUGGCGAAGGCAGCCCCCUGGGCUAACACUGACGCUCAUGCACGAAAGCGUGGGGAGCAAACAGG